GACGAACGCUGGCGGCGUGCUUAACACAUGCAAGUCGAACGGAAAGGCCCUGCUUUUGUGGGGUGCUCGAGUGGCGAACGGGUGAGUAACACGUGAGUAACCUGCCCUUGACUUUGGGAUAACUUCAGGAAACUGGGGCUAAUACCGGAUAGGAGCUCCUGCUGCAUGGUGGGGGUUGGAAAGUUUCGGCGGUUGGGGAUGGACUCGCGGCUUAUCAGCUUGUUGGUGGGGUAGUGGCUUACCAAGGCUUUGACGGGUAGCCGGCCUGAGAGGGUGACCGGCCACAUUGGGACUGAGAUACGGCCCAGACUCCUACGGGAGGCAGCAGUGGGGAAUAUUGCACAAUGGGCGGAAGCCUGAUGCAGCAACGCCGCGUGCGGGAUGACGGCCUUCGGGUUGUAAACCGCUUUCGCCUGUGACGAAGCGUGAGUGACGGUAAUGGGUAAAGAAGCACCGGCUAACUACGUGCCAGCAGCCGCGGUGAUACGUAGGGUGCGAGCGUUGUCCGGAUUUAUUGGGCGUGAAGGGCUCGUAGGUGGUUGAUCGCGUCGGAAGUGUAAUCUUGGGGCUUAACCCUGAGCGUGCUUUCGAUACGGGUUGACUUGAGGAAGGUAGGGGAGAAUGGAAUUCCUGGUGGAGCGGUGGAAUGCGCAGAUAUCAGGAGGAACACCAGUGGCGAAGGCGGUUCUCUGGGCCUUUCCUGACGCUGAGGAGCGAAAGCGUGGGGAGCGAACAGGCUUAGAUACCCUGGUAGUCCACGCUGUAAACGGUGGGUACUAGGUGUGGGGUCCAUUCCACGGGUUCCGUGCCGUAGCUAACGCUUUAAGUACCCCGCCUGGGGAGUACGGCCGCAAGGCUAAAACUCAAAGGAAUUGACGGGGCCCCGCACAAGCGGCGGAGCAUGCGGAUUAAUUCGAUGCAACGCGUAGAACCUUACCUGGGUUUGACAUGGAUCGGGAGUGCUCAGAGAUGGGUGUGCCUCUUUUGGGGUCGGUUCACAGGUGGUGCAUGGCUGUCGUCAGCUCGUGUCGUGAGAUGUUGGGUUAAGUCCCGCAACGAGCGCAACCCUUGUUCACUGUUGCCAGCACGUUAUGGUGGGGACUCAGUGGAGACCGCCGGGGUCAACUCGGAGGAAGGUGGGGAUGACGUCAAGUCAUCAUGCCCCUUAUGUCCAGGGCUUCACGCAUGCUACAAUGGCUGGUACAGAGAGUGGCGAGCCUGUGAGGGUGAGCGAAUCUCGGAAAGCCGGUCUCAGUUCGGAUUGGGGUCUGCAACUCGACCUCAUGAAGUCGGAGUCGCUAGUAAUCGCAGAUCAGCAACGCUGCGGUGAAUACGUUCCCGGGGCU
Molecule: ribosomal RNA, 1346 nt
Filed under: uncultured bacterium
Lineage: Bacteria
Description: partial 16S ribosomal RNA
Rfam family: Bacterial small subunit ribosomal RNA
Source: RNAcentral